CUACGUGCCAGCAGCCGCGGUAAUACGGAUGUCCCGGGCGUUAUCCGGAUUUAUUGGGCGUAAAGGGAGCGUAGGCCGUUAUGUAAGCCUGUUGUGAAAAGCAGGGGCUCAACGUUGGCAUGCGGCGCGAACUGCAUGACUAGAGUACUGGAGAGGUAGGCGGAAUUCGUCGUGUAGAGGUGAAAUGCGUAGAUAUGACGAAGAAUGCCGAUGGCGAAGCCAGCUUGCGGGACAGAUACUGACGCUGAAGCGCGAAAGCGCGGGUAGCAAACAGGAUUAGAUACCCUGGUAGUCCACACGGUAAACGAUGAAUACUAGGUGUCAGGCUUCGAACCUCGGCGCCCAAGCUAACGCGAUAAGUAAUCCGCCUGGGGAGUACGCCCGCAAGUAUGAAACUCAAAGGAAUUGACGGGGACCCGCACAAGCGGAGGAACAUGUGGUUUAAUUCGACGCAACGCGAGGAACCUUACCAGCGUUUAACAUC
This 484-nucleotide ribosomal RNA is filed under the name uncultured bacterium. RNAcentral describes it as "bacterial SSU rRNA". It matches the Rfam family "Bacterial small subunit ribosomal RNA", at positions 501 to 988 of the family's 1533-position model. The record is from RNAcentral.